This 524-nucleotide ribosomal RNA is filed under the name uncultured bacterium. Its description in RNAcentral is "bacterial SSU rRNA". It matches the Rfam family "Bacterial small subunit ribosomal RNA", at positions 777 to 1301 of the family's 1533-position model. The record is from RNAcentral.
AAUAGAUACCCAGGUAGUCCACGCUGUAAACGUUGGACACUAGGUGUGGCGGUCUGAUCAACGACUGCCGUGCCGAAGCUAACGCAUUAAGUGUCCCGCCUGGGGAGUACGGCCGCAAGGCUAAAACUCAAAGGAAUUGACGGGUCCCCGCACAAGCGGCGGAGCAUGCGGCUUAAUUCGAUGCAACCCGAAGAACCUUACCUGGGUUUGACAUCAUGGGAAAAGCCGUGGAAACACGGUGUCCGUAAGGGCCCAUGACAGGUGGUGCAUGGCUGUCGUCAGCUCGUGUCGUGAGAUGUUGGGUUAAGUCCCGCAACGAGCGCAACCCUUGUCCUAUGUUGCCAGCGGUUCGGCCGGGAACUCAUAGGAGACUGCCGGGGAUAACUCGGAGGAAGGUGAGGACGAUGUCAAGUCAUCAUGCCCCUUAUAUCCAGGGCUGCACGCAUGCUACAAUGGUCGGUACAACGGGCAGCGAUCCUGCGAAGGUGAGCGAAUCCCACAAAGCCGGCCUCAGUUCGGAUUGG